RNAcentral lists this non-coding RNA (24 nucleotides) under Mus musculus (house mouse). Lineage: Eukaryota; Metazoa; Chordata; Mammalia; Rodentia; Muridae. The record is from RNAcentral.
UGCUCUUAAUGAUGCCUCCUUGCC